Molecule: ribosomal RNA, 252 nt
Filed under: uncultured bacterium
Lineage: Bacteria
Description: partial 16S ribosomal RNA
Rfam family: Bacterial small subunit ribosomal RNA
Source: RNAcentral
UACGAGGGGGGCAAGCGUUGUUCGGAUUUAUUGGGCGUAAAGGGUGCGUAGGCGGUUUGGCAAGUCUUAUGUGAAAUCUUCGGGCUCAACCCGAAGCCUGCAUAAGAAACUGCCGGGCUUGAGUAUUGGAGAGGUGAGUGGAAUUUCCGGUGUAGCGGUGAAAUGCGUAGAUAUCGUGAGGAAGACCAGUGGCGAAGGCGGGUCUCUGGACAGUUCCUGACGCUGAGGCGCGAAGGCCAGGGGAGCAAACGG